AUUAUUAAUGACUAAUGUUAAUAAUGUUUUUGUUUGUUUAGUCGGUAUGGGUAUUUAGUUUGAUUGAUUAUCAAAGCCCGACGUAUGGCAAUGGAGCUUAUCAGUAUCCAUGGUGGGCAGAAGCUGUUGGUUGGGGAAUAGCGUCCUUGUCACUGAUCUGCAUUCCAGCAUUUGCCGUCUACGUAUUAAUUAGAGCCGAGGGCGUUACUUUCACCGAGAAACUACGCAAUUCAAUUAGAUCACAUUUUGAGGCCUGCAAAGUAUGUCGUCAGGAAUACUGCGCAAAUCCGCUGCAUAAUUUAUCGGAUACCGAUAAGGAGCAAAUCAAACAACCACUCCAAGAAAUGAACAGUCUGAUAAAUAACGUACCCAUCACAAUAAUACCCGCAAAGUCUAAAACAUAAUAAUAACAAUAACAACAACACUACUAAUUAACUGUCAAUAGAUGAAAUUAAAUAAUAUUCAUAAAAA
Long non-coding RNA from Cotesia glomerata, 471 nucleotides. RefSeq lists it as uncharacterized. NCBI's taxonomy places the organism in Eukaryota, Metazoa, Arthropoda, Insecta, Hymenoptera, Braconidae. The record is from RefSeq and is a predicted model, not a curated record. The transcript has 2 exons.